GAUGAAGAACGUAGCGAAAUGCGAUAAGUAAUGUGAAUUGCAGAAUUCAGUGAAUCAUCGAAUCUUUGAACGCACCUUGCGCUCCUUGGUAUUCCGAGGAGCAUGCCUGUUUGAGUGUCAUGAAAUUCUCAACCUUUUCAGCUUUCUUUGUUGAUCAGGCUUGGAUGUGGGAGUAUGCGGGCUUCUCAGAAGUCGGCUCUCCUGAAAUGCAUUAGCGGGACCUUUGUUGCCUGGCUUUGGUGUGAUAAUUAUCUACGCCAUUGUAGUCAAGCAGCUUAAAAUGAGGUUUCAGCUUCUAACCGUCUCCCCUGAGACAACUUUUUGACAAUUUGACCACAAAUCAGGUAGGACUACCCGCUGAACUUAAGCAUAUCAAUAAGCGGAGG
This 386-nucleotide unclassified non-coding RNA is filed under the name soil metagenome. RNAcentral's name for it is "partial contains 5.8S ribosomal RNA, internal transcribed spacer 2, and large subunit ribosomal RNA". The stretch from base 1 to 120 matches the Rfam family "5.8S ribosomal RNA", at positions 35 to 154 of the family's 154-position model. The record is from RNAcentral.